Molecule: long non-coding RNA, 5304 nt
Filed under: Sus scrofa (pig)
Lineage: Eukaryota; Metazoa; Chordata; Mammalia; Artiodactyla; Suidae
Description: lncRNA (ENSSSCG00035042959.1)
Source: RNAcentral
GCCUACACGCCUUUUAUUAAGGAAAGUAUGUAGGUGAAUUAACAAAAUCAAGCACAGGCAAUGACAAAGCUACCUCAUAGUGAAUAACAAAGGAAACUAUUAACACUGGUGCCUGCCUCUAGGGCAUAGUGGCUGCUUAGUGAAGAGCAUGGUUUAGGAAAAACGCCCUUAUCUUGUCUGUAAAGGCGACCUUUCAGAACUCUGCAUCAGCAGAAUUCAGCAGUUCAGUGGUUUCCAACAUCUCCUCCCAUUUUCACUUAUUUGUUGUAUAAGAACAGCCAUAGUAAAUUUUGAUUGCAGGGCGUUCAUUUGGUUUCUAUGGAUCAAGCCAAUUCUGUAGGCUGCACAAAAAAAGAGAAAUCACAAAUACAGGGACAAAUAAAAGAAAUAAUUUGGAUUCUCAAACAACGAUGGAGUCCCGAGAGGGCUGAGACGGAGGGCAGUUAAUCCUUGUAGGUGGUUAUCUAGGCUCCAUAGUCCGGGAAAGGGUGUCGACCUUGUACUGGGCGGUACCGCCGUCCACAGCAGGUCUCCAAGGUGAACAGUCACAUUGGGGCGGAGGGGAGAGUCCUGUCUCCAUCUUCCUGGGAACCUAUCAUUCCAGCCUUUUUUAAAUGGGAUGGGGCGACGGUCCUCUCUUCCGUAGCUACUUCCUGCUGGCGAGGGGCGACGAGUGCUGGGGGGCUGGACUGGACAUGGUAGGUUCCUACUAUGGAGGAUGGGAUGAAAAAAAUAAGAUUAAGCAGAGGUUGGUGAUAUAGGUUGACGCCGGUACUGUUGAAGGAAGUGUGUAGUUUUAUCUAAGUUGGUUUUAACGUUUGCUGUACUAUUGACACAUAAUUAACAGGAGCUAUUGGUAGCUGGUGGCAUCAAGUCUGACUGGGCACAUAAACCUGAAGUUCUUAGCAAUACAAAGUCUUGUCGAAAAUCACUCCCUUAAUAUUUCCUAGUAUCACCUUGGCUUGGGUGUCUGACUCACGGCUACUCCAUCCUGCCUUUUCUCUCUAAUGGCCAAUGCAGAUGCCACUGUUAAUGACUUCUGCUUUUCUAGAUAUGAGAAGAAGCAAGAAUUUGGGCCCAUAAAAAUCCUUACCUGCAAUCUAACUAUCUGAAGGCCUGUUUGGUCAGUUUUCCCUUAGCACCGAGUGCCUCACUCCUGGUCUCCGCACUGAGCUCUGCUCAGGGGCUGUUGCGGGUCGGAAGCUGCAGUGGCUCAUGUUUUACUCCAUGUAGAGGCUGAUGGCAAGGGCCAAACUCCAGUGCCCAGCGCUCCCCCACGGUCAUAAAUUCGACCAUAGUUUUGGGAGGCAUAUCAUGACCAUUUUGUCCCACGGUGCUAGGAAUGGAUAUUCCUAGAUCUGGCAAAGAUUUAGCUGACAGGCAACUCAAUGUGCUAUUACUGGACUAGGCCUUAUUAACAGUAGCCAAUCGUCUCUGGACCACCUGUCUUCCUAGUCUGUUACGGUCCAGGAAAAUAUUCCCUCUUGUUGCAUUUUCCCAUAUCUAGAGAUCACUGACCUCAUAUGAGACUGUAUUAUCAUUUCAUCAGAGACUCAGUUACAAAUUUGGCAAGGCAAGAAAUAGCAAUUUUGUGAACGCAGUUAAUAAAAAUAGUAUGUGUUCAUAAAGUUAUAAACAAAAAUUUAAGUUGAGCAUAUGGAGGUUCCUAGUCUAGGGGUCGAAUCAGAACUGUAACCACCAGCCUACGCCACAGCCACGCCAGAUCUGAGCUAUGUCUGCGAGCUACCACUGUGACCCAGAUCCUUACCCCACUGAGCGAGGCCAGGGAUCGAAACCCUCAAUCUCACGGUUCCUAGUCAGAUUCAUUAACCACUGAGCCACAACAGAAAGUCCAGUUGUUUCUUAUCUUUAAAGAGUAUUAUAUACUGGCUUUGUCCAUUCAGCCUAAUUUCUUAGUGUUAUCAGGCUGGUUAUCCCUAGAUGGUUUAAUUGUUCCCAACAAAAGGGAGCCUUUAAGUUUAAAUUAAUAUAGCCUAGCAAAGUUAUAUCUCUUGGCUGAAGUCUCACUUAUUGUUGAUUGAGCUUGAGCAACAUUAGAAGAAAAUGUAUUUAUGGUCUGGGUCAGAGCAGGUGUUAACUGGCCAGGUGAGGGGAUCCCACCUAGUAACAGCAAUAAUAAGAGCCUUGGAGGGGAGAAACCCAUCAGGGUAAAUCAGAAGUAAAACAAAUAACCAUACGAGUCAGGUGACAGUCUCGGGAUAGUGGACUGCUUCUGAUGUUGUCUUCUUCUUGUCCCUGCACUGGUGUUUUUCUUAUUAGAGCCUUGGUUUAGGGUGAGUUUGAAGUCAGUAAUUCACUCUAUAGACCAAUCCAAUGUAGAGGCCCUUCUUGAGUGAGAAAUAUAAAUUUAAGAGUUAAUUUUCUUCACUUUCUUUGUGCAUAUGGCACUUAAGAAUUCCUAAAAAGAAAGCUUUUAUAUCUUAGGUUGGGGACAACCCUUUAAAUGAUACUUUUCCAGAAUGUAUAUAUAUUCCCCUGGUUAUCAUGGGACAUCUGAUAUAUGUGCCCAGAAAUGGAUUACAGCAAUCAGCUUCAGAAACAAGCUUAGAUUAUUUUCCUUAAUAACUUGGUUAACAUUUAUAAUAAUGUAACAGCGGCAAAGAACUAUUUGGGAGGUGAGUUUCAGUCAGUAAACACAAUUUCAAUACGCAAAACUAGAAUAUGAAUCAAAACAUUCUUUUUCUUUUCUUUUCUUUUCUUUUUUUUUAUUUCUUUGGGCCGCUCCUGUGGCAUAUGGAGGUUCCCAGGCUAGGGGUCUAAUCGGAGCUGUAGCCACAGGCCUACACCAGAGCCACAGCAACGAGGGAUCCGAGCCAUCUGACGUUGCUAUGGCUGUGGUGUAGGCUGGGAGCAACAGCUACAAUUAGACCCCUAGCCUGGGAGCCUCCAUAUGCCGAGGAUAUGGCCCUAAAAAGACAAAACAAAAUAAAAUAACCCGUUUUUCCUUGUGGUCCGACCCAGGAAAGCAUCUGCUGACUUUGAUGGACUCUCAGCCCCUCAACUUAGAUUUGGGAGUAAUUAAAGACCAUGCGGGAGGGGCAAUCACAAUAACAACUGAAACAUCGGCUCCAUUAUCUGUUAAUCCCCUGAUAUUUUUUUUCCAUUAACCGUAAUAGUCAUUCGUGGACGUUCAGUUGUGACUUCCUGAGUCCAAAAGACUUGAGAAGUCCCUGCACUUCCAAUCCUGAUGUUCCCCUUUCUUUAUGAGGACUCUGUCCUAUUUUAAGAUAUGGCAGCAGUAACAAUUGAGCAAUCCUCCUUCCAGGAUGCAAAGGAAGUAGGGUUUUGGAUUUCAUCAUCACUUUAAUCUCUCCUUGACAGUCUGCAUCUAUCACUCCAGGCAAAACUUGUAAGCCUCUCAAGGUUAAGCCACUUCUCCCUCUAAUGAGGCCUACGGUGUCCGGAGGAAGAGGGCCAUAAAUUCCUGGAGGGACUGCCUGAAAGCCCUGUUCAUAUGUUAAAACAGCUGCUGUGGCGCCCGGCAAGUCCAACGCUUGGGAAGCCCCUGGGAGGGAUCGGAUGCCUUUUCGGUUGGAGCCACAAAAGCCCACAUUGUUGGACGGGGCCGGGGCUGGCCCUGGUUCCCGUUUCCCGACACCAGAGUGGUUAAUGGAGUACCAUUUCGGUGAAACUUAGAUCGGCAUUGAUUAGCCCAGUGCUUCCCUUUCUGACAGCGAGGACAUAAGCCGGGGUUCUGACUGGGUCCUGGAGAUGAUCCUGUUGCAGAGGGUGCCUUUUCUUUUGGGGGGGCUCGGCAUUCUCUCUGAAAGUGUCCUGCCUUUCCACAGUUAAAGCAUGUCUUUCCUGAGCGGCCAAGUGCUCUUUUCAAUGCUGCAGCAAGCAGCUCUUGAGUAUGACCUACAGUCCCUACAUCCUGACAUGCCUUAAUAUAAUCAAAGAGGUCUCCUGAAUUUCUUACAGGGGCCAUUGCCCUUCUACAGUCUUUAUUUGCGUUUUCGUAUGCUAAUAGUUUAAUUAAAAUAUCAGCCACCUGAGAAUGGGCUACUUGGCGAUGGACGGCCUGUGUUAGGCGGUCCACAAAUUGUGAGUAAGGUUCUGUAGGGCCUUGAAGGCAACGUGUAAAAGAUCCUUGUGGCUUUCCUGUCCCAGGAAUUGUCUUCCACGCUCUUUGGGCGGCCAGGCUCAACUGCUCAUACGCCAGAGGAUCAUAAGCCAGUUGUUUUGUUACGUCAAGAAAAGGGCCUGUCCCCACCAACAUUUCAAAAGUAAUUGGAACAUGAUCUCUUUUAUUUAAGCAAGCCUGUUCCCGACAAAAAUCUGAAAGACUAGACUUCCAAAUUAAAUAAUCUAUACCAUCCAGGGUGGCUUUGGCUAUCAUAUGCCAGUCCCACGGGGGAAGCUGGAGUGUCCCCACGCUUUCUACCAAGCGCAUCGUAAAGGGAGCUGUCACUCCGUUCUGUAUCACACUCUCCCGGAGAGCUUUAAGAUCUUUAAAAUCAAAAGUGUUCUGCGCAUGGAUAUUUUGUCCUGGGACUUGAGGAUUGGGGACAAUAGGUAUAGGGCAUGCUAAAAAGGUCCGAUCCUCUAGACUAGCCGACUUUAAGGCUGAUUGAAGGGGAGUUAGUGCUGCCGCCACAGCUAACGGCCUAUUUAAACUCUCAUCAAGAAAGGGAUCGGCCUGAGGGGGAGCAGAAGCUAUAGGCUUUUCUUUAUGUUCCCGUAAGGGCUCCAAAACACGUCUUACUAGUUCCCAUGUAGAAAAAACAGAAACAGAAAGAGAGGCCCCCGACCGAUGGGCGUGCCUUAAAUUUUUCCCCACGAGAUCCCAGCAUUCCGGGUCCACAGUACCCUCGCCUGGAAACCAAGGGUUAUAUUUGACCACGGCUUCUAACAAUUCCUCGAUCUCAGACCCUGUUACCUGAGCCCCCGACCAUUUCAACACACAUUUCAGCAACUGAAUAUAAUGUUUGGUUUCCUGUGAUUGAUUCUGCCCCAUUGUUAUCCUGGCUUAAAAUUUCUACUCACGGUUGCGAUUCCGUCGAGUGCAACGCUACCGUCUCCGCCGUCUGUAGUUGCACUUUUUCCUGCUCGUGGCCCAACUUCUCUUUCCUCUGCUCGUGGCAGUGUUAUGGCAGCUGCCCAGAAGCCCUGGGCCGCAGCGUAUCAGUUCUGGCGACAGCCCUGUGGCUGUCGUGUCCCAGCUCCAGCAGCUCUGUGGCUGCAGUGGAUCAGCUCUUUGACCCGGCGAGAAACCAAGCGAGCACUCGGAGAGUUGGAGAACUCAGGUUUAUGACGCCGGUGGGCUCAGAGGAGAUCGCUCUC